AACAAAGAGCUGCGUCAACAUUCAACCUCAUCAUCCAGAGUAAAUUACGCAGAUUUGACAGAAUUAACAUGACCACAGCUACUUUAUCACCACAAAGGUGUACUAAAAUCUGAAAAUUUAAGCAUUUGAUAGCAAUAGGAUGUGUCAAAAUCCACUUCGGGAAAACAGAGUAUUAAUUAAACAAAACACAAGGAACAGGUUCAAACACUAAAACAAUAUAGAGAUCUCAUCUAAAGCCAAAAUGCUCAUUCAUCCUCCUGGCUGUGCAACCUAGCAAGCUUGUUUGUUAUGACAACAUCAAGUUGGGCAGCUCGCUCGACAAUCUCUUUCCUCUUCCUAGUGGAAACAUUGUGUGCGAUUUCUGCACAGUAAGUUCUGUUGUGCAUCAUUAGGAUCUCAAGCUCGCUAGCAUUAUGCACGACGAACUUCUUGAAGCCAUUGGGAAGAUAGUGGCGAGUCUUCUUGUCUGACCCGUAUCCAAUAUUGGGCAUCAAGACACAUCCCUUGAACUUUCUCCUCACUCUAGAAUCAAUACCCUUGGGUCUGCGCCAGCUUUCCUUGACAGUGAUUCUUCGGUCACUCUGAGGUCUAAUGAACCUCUUCACUCUCUUCUUCACGACCUUCUUGUUAAGCAGAGGCACGGCCAUUGUUGUUGUUCUACCUUGUCUUACCUUUCGAACUAGGGUUUCUGCUGAGCCGCUAACUCCUUG
This 710-nucleotide unclassified non-coding RNA is filed under the name Hevea brasiliensis (rubber tree). Lineage: Eukaryota; Viridiplantae; Streptophyta; Magnoliopsida; Malpighiales; Euphorbiaceae. The record is from RNAcentral.